RNAcentral lists this long non-coding RNA (411 nucleotides) under Solanum tuberosum (potato). RNAcentral's name for it is "long non-coding RNA (STUB_LNC008479)". The record is from RNAcentral. Lineage: Eukaryota; Viridiplantae; Streptophyta; Magnoliopsida; Solanales; Solanaceae.
UAUUAUUAUUAAUAGAAGCAGGGAACAAUACAUUAAAGAAAGCGUUCCCAAAGACCAACCCUUUCCCUAUGUAAAACAAAAAAAUAAAACACAUCUUUCCCUAUACACUAAUGUUUCCUAAUCCACCGCCUCUUCAACUUCAUUUCUCCAGAAAACCUUGACACCUGAAAAAAAUGUUACUCCUUUGGUCAAAACCUACCUUCUAUCUCCUCAUGUUGUGGGUAUCACCUGUGAGUAUUCCUAUUUAUGAUAGAUUGCGUUUCACCAUUUUGGUUGGUUCUGAUAUGCAGUUGUGUUCGCUGGUACAAUUGCGGCAUGUGCUCAUGAAAUUUUUCUUGUGGAUCUCUUUCCAGUGUGAGUGUAUUGCUUUACUGUGUAAACACAUUCAAUUUUGUAGACUUCACUGAAUAU